CAAUGGGGCGCAAGCCUGAACCAGCCAUGUCGCGUGCAGGAAGACGGCCCUAUGGGUUGUAAACUGCUUUUGUAUGGGAAAAAAUUGCUCGACGUGUCGGACAUUGCCGGUACCAUACGAAUAAGGAUCGGCUAACUCCGUGCCAGCAGCCGCGGUAAUACGGAAGAUCCGAGCGUUAUCCGGAUUUAUUGGGUUUAAAGGGUGCGUAGGCCGAAUGGUAAGUCAAAGGUGAAAUCCUGCCGCUCAACUGUACAAUAGCCUUUGAAACUGGAAUUCUUGAAUACAUUUGAAGUAGGCGGAAUGUGGUGUGUAGCGGUGAAAUGCAUAGAUAUACCAAAGAACACCGAUUGCGAAGGCAGCUUACUAAACUGUAACUGACGCUGAGGCACAGAAAGCGUGGGUAUCAAACAGGAUUAGAUACCCUGGUAGUCCACGCUGUAAACGAAGAUUACUGGUUGUUUGCGAUACACAGCAAGUGACUGAAGGAAACCAUUAAAUAAUCCACCUGGGGAGUACGGCGGGAACGAUGAAACUCAAAGAAUUUGACCGGG
Molecule: ribosomal RNA, 551 nt
Filed under: uncultured Geofilum sp.
Lineage: Bacteria; Pseudomonadati; Bacteroidota; Bacteroidia; Marinilabiliales; Marinilabiliaceae
Description: bacterial SSU rRNA
Rfam family: Bacterial small subunit ribosomal RNA
Source: RNAcentral